RNAcentral lists this ribosomal RNA (132 nucleotides) under Pseudotrimezia aff. juncifolia Lovo 427. RNAcentral describes it as "5.8S ribosomal RNA". It matches the Rfam family "5.8S ribosomal RNA", at positions 30 to 154 of the family's 154-position model. From Rfam's summary of the family: 5.8S ribosomal RNA (5.8S rRNA) is a component of the large subunit of the eukaryotic ribosome. It is transcribed by RNA polymerase I as part of the 45S precursor that also contains 18S and 28S rRNA. Functionally, it is thought that 5.8S rRNA may be involved in ribosome translocation. Lineage: Eukaryota; Viridiplantae; Streptophyta; Magnoliopsida; Asparagales; Iridaceae. The record is from RNAcentral.
GCAUCGAUGAAGAACGUAGCGAAAUGCGAUACUUGGUGUGAAUUGCAGAAUCCCGUGAACCAUCGAGUCUUUGAACGCAAGUUGCGCCCGAGGCCAUCCGGUCGAGGGCACGCCUGCCUGGGCGUCACGCCU